UCAAAGAAUCUUUUUUUUAUUCUGCCUGUACUCUCCACCCCUCUUCUUCUAUUGCUCAGGUUGAAGCAGAAUUUGCCCGUCUUACAUCUGUUGACCUGAAAGGGUUCCUUUUUGCUGUGCUUGACCAUUAUGGAGAGGUUCGUGGAGCUGUACAAAAUCAAGAGCGGCAUAGGAGGGCUGACUAGGCCCAUAAAAUGCUUCGAUGAUGAUAGCCCUACACAAAGGAAGAGGACAGAGGACCUCAUUUUCUAAAGGAAGAUCCCUCACACACUUUCAAGACUGUGAAGCCGACAGGUAUUGAAGACACGUUUUCUAAGAGGAUGAAAGUUGGCAUUGCGAUGGUGAAAGAAGAAGACCUC
This is a long non-coding RNA of Pelmatolapia mariae (spotted tilapia), 359 nucleotides long. RefSeq lists it as uncharacterized. The record is from RefSeq and is a predicted model, not a curated record. The transcript has 3 exons. NCBI's taxonomy places the organism in Eukaryota, Metazoa, Chordata, Actinopteri, Cichliformes, Cichlidae.